Molecule: long non-coding RNA, 5472 nt
Organism: Bombus huntii
Lineage: Eukaryota; Metazoa; Arthropoda; Insecta; Hymenoptera; Apidae
Exons: 4
Source: RefSeq, a predicted model, not a curated record
AUAUCUAGCCAAAAUAAUUAGAAAAUUAUCUUGAGCCUAAAGUAAAUUUAAGGCAGCUCAAACUCGAUCAAACUGCGAACCUAACCUAAAUAUCCGCUUCCCAUCCCAACAAACGUACGAGUAACACUCGGCUGGCUUUCGUCGCAACUACUUUUCACCCAAUUCAAUUUCCAAACAUUAAAAACACUGUGUAGAGGCAACCGGCCGAGUGCACUUCACCCAAUUAACGUUUUUGAUGGGACCAAUUUAAAGAUCCAGCCGCUCUGUCGUGCGCUCGCCUAUGUGUUUAUCCUCCGUGUGGCAAUGGGCGCGGCGUGACACAGUGUGAAACUCGAUAGGUCCGUGUUCCGUUCGCGUUUCUUCGAACCGUGUGUGCAUGUGAUCCGUGGUAAUUACCCGAUAUAUAUCCAACAGGCUAGUCUAGGCGCAUCAUCUCAUCCAUUUCAGAGAACGACGCAAUUUUUCCAUCCACCCUGCUGUUAAAUGGUUUCGGUGCUCUUCCUACACGUUCCAUCAGCUUCUCGUUACGAGCUUCCCCGAGUUUCUGGAACAACCCUAUCGCGUCGUUUCGCUGUUUGCAGCACGGGUUGAGUGCCGAUGCAAAUAAUCCUCUCUGCUGUUGCCAAGUUUCACGAUGCCAGGAUUUAUUGGUUAAUCGAUGAGAAUCCUCUCGAUUCUGUAUCUGUUUGAACGAGUAGUUUGGUGUUUGGUGAAUUCGAGACGAGUUAUGGAUCUUUCGUAGCUUGGUAGAUUUUCCAGGGUCUAUUAGGAAUUUUUAUUGGGAAUAUUAGACCUCGAGCUUAUUAAAUUUCUCUAUUUACUUGAAGCAACCUACGCAUUUUCCUUUUUGUCUUUUCCUAAUGCGUAAUUUUUAUUUAGCAUAGCUGUAAUUUCACAUAGGUAGAAUGAAACAUAAUCAAACGCAUUGCACUACAUCAAAAGUUUGGGUCUAAACAUAGCUAAGCAUCAGGGAAGGGCAGACGAUCUAAUAGUCGAAACACGUACAGUUCGUGUUCGUUCAGAAAUUCGUAUUCGCUAUCGAUUUACAAUGCACAGAGAAUUAUUACACCCCUGCUGCUCCCUGAAACCAUCCACAAUUACAAUUCACCUUGAAAUCCCUCGAAUCCCUAACAUAAACUACUUUAAAGUAUCAGCGAAUUGUAAAUCCCCCGAAAAAGAAGCGAGAUCGAGUCUUUACUUGGCGAGCUCGAACAAAAUCAUUCCAACAGACAGGAUCAACGGAAAAGCAAUAAAAUUUCAGGCCAACUACCGUAAGAACGAGACUGGCAGGUGUAGGCGUAGCGACGAGGGGAGAGCAUCGAUGGUGUUGGAGGUCCCGAAACCGGGGUUGUUAGCCGGUGACGACGAUUCGAACCACGUCGUCGUGGCGACCCACGCGUCGGACCUCCCGCGAGGUUCUCAACCUUGUUUACAUAAAUCAUCAGAAACGGUCUGGAUGCUCGACAGACGCGGCUCUCGCUUCGUCCUUCGGCCGAUCCAACGACCCCGUCUCGAAUAAACCCAACCGCGAGAAUAAAAGCGUGCCGACAAAGCGAAGAAGGACGUAUACAAGGCUGGUCCACGGUUCUGAACCGAGUUCAACGAGACUAACGGAGCAACGGUGCCUGUAAACCGAGAAGACAGGGGUUUCAUGCACUGCAUCCGGUUUAAAGAAAUCGAAGCUCGAGAACUGCUGACCUUUCCAUGAAGAAUUGCAUUAGGACGAAAAGUUGCGGAAUGUUCUUCCUAUUAAUCGAAAGCACGCGAUCGAAGAGGAGCAAGAGAGGAGGGCAACGAGUCGCUAAACAGGCGCCACGAUCGUCCUUCAACUCUCCACAGCGAGAAUGAACGGGUUCACGGUUCACCCCUUCUUUCUAUGCCAGUUCGUGGUCACCACGUUCCCCUUUCUCCCUCCGUCUUCCUCGACCGGGGUAUAUUAUGAUCUUGUCCAGAGGCAGACGGCCUACAGACUUAACGAUCGAUAGAGCUUCCCCGUUCCCGCCUCUCUUCUGUAGAACGUUCUCUUUCCCUUGUGCCGCGCCGCUUGCGCCUCUACCCCCACCACCGGCACAUUCUCCCUCUACGCCAAUCGGCCUGCGCCAGGCCAACGAUGGCGCGUUACACGCAACGCGCUCACAGUGGCGUCGACGCUCGAUUUAAAAUAUUUGCUACGUUGGCUAUGAUUUUAGUCGAUGAAAUACGAAAAAGUACACGGCUCGAACGCAUCCGAACACAUACUAAUUUUUUAUUAGAUAUAUUUCAAUUACAAAAGUACGGUCAAAUCGAGAUAACACGAUUUUCUUCUUCGUGACCGUAUAAUUGUAUGUCACAAGCCGAGUAAACAGAUCACAGUUGAAAGUCAAUGCGAACAGUACUGCGCUAUACGUGGUAUAUGUGUAACAAUAAAAUUGGCAAUUAACGAAGCUUAUUCGACUAUCGUAUGACAACCUCUUUAUCUCCAGAUUGUUUUUUUCUUUUUUAACUUCGUAGCUAUUAGCAGGAAAACGUUAUACAAAAAAAUUGUUACUUUUGAUAACGUUUACCGGAAGGUAACCUAGGCGAUAGAGUAUGGACCUGAUUCAUUAUUUCGGACAGCACAUUGGUCGAAAGCGUCGGAUGUUCAAACAACAAUCACUUGGUAACUGAGAGGAAAUCACACAGCAAGCGAUCGAGGGAGUGGGUACUGCUCUUGCAUGCUCGCCUUGUCCCGUCUGUGUCAUCUCGCUAGCCAUCUUCUCGUAUCGUCAGUGGCUCGUGAAAGUACUUGAACGCUUGCUAAAAUACAUUAUUUAAUAAACUACUAUGGAGAAGUUCCAUAGUUCCAUCUAUAAAUCGGAAGCAAUUUUGGAUACACGCCCACAAGUCCCCUACCCUGUGCGAACUCGAUCUUGGAAGUGUAUUUUCGACCAAUCCAGACCUGUCCUCGCGAAAAUAUGGCCUAGGUCGGGGAUGUCGCAACCGCACCACGCGUUUGCAUUUCUCCAAUUCGAUAUCUUAUCCUCAAACUCCUCUGUUUCCAUCCACCCCGAAGGAAAAAUAAGGGACACUCAGGGUAAACUUUGUUCACCUGACGGGACAGUUCUUUAUCCUCACCAAGAUGUUAUUGCGAAUUUGUAUGUAUUAUUAUAUUGUAUAAUUUGAAUGCAGAUGGAAGACAGAGUUCAAACGAUACGAGCAUUUUAUACUAAUAACAAAAGCUUUACGUAACGAAAGGCUGCAUUCGCUAAAGAACAGGGGAAGCUUCUACUUUAUUUAUUAAAUAAAGAUUAAAAGGGUGGGGAAGAUAAAAAGCUACGAUACAAUACGAGAAAUCGAUCUUCCAACAUCAGACGGCUUACACGAAGACAGAGGAAGUUUCUUUCUACAUCGCGCUACGAAAAUAACCCUCUGUAAUGCCACGUAAUUUCCAACUUAUAUAUCCAUAUACAUAUAUAGAUAUACGUACAUACGUUUCUUGCGUUUCGUUUCAUGCAUAUCACAGCCCCAUUCUAGCUUAUUAAUAAACAUGUAUAGUACGAUAUAGUAUAGUCAUGGUACAUGGUACAUGGUACACGGUACUCGGUACAUGGUACACGGUACAUGGUACAUGGUACAUGGUACAUGGUACAUGGUACAUGGUACAUGGUACAUGGUACAUGGUACAUGGUACAUGGUACAUGGUACAUGGUACAUGGUACAUGGUACAUGGUACAUGGUACAUGGUACAUGGUACAUGGUACACGGUACACGGUACACGGUACAUGGUACACGGUACAUGGUACAUGGUACACGAUACAUAGUACAUGGUACAUGGUACAUACGUGUAAUACUCUGUAGGGUAGUUAUCAUAACACAACUAUGAAUCUUUCUUCUUUACUAUAAACCAUACGCUUUCCUUCGCCACUGUACAUAAAAUAUUUCUAUCACCAGUCAGUGUACGUAACGAAAUGAAUAAAUUCACGAAGAAUUAAAAACCGAUUCGAAUCAAUUUGCUUCGACUAACGAAACGAUAGUAAGCCACUCGCUGUGGAUAAAAAUGCAGCUUUCUGUGGAUUUGAUAUAGCGAUAGUUAUCGACUAUGCGAAGCAAAGUCGGUCGAGCGUGGCGUCGCGACGCGUCCAGGAACGAAAGCGCGUCCGGGUUGGCGGCAGAAAGGGAAAGAGGAGCAGUGAGGGAAAAACGGGAAGGCUGGCGACACAGUGGCACCGGUGCAGCGGCCGAAAUUUAGACCUGGCCCGUGGGGCGUCGCGACGCCUAACGCGCGGCCAACUGCACUACCGUCAGCCGCGUUUAUUGAUCGACCCGAUGCAACCAAGCUGGGCCACAGCUGGCCGGGCUUACCUCGUUCGUUCCUUACAAGUUCGAACCGUCUCUAUGCCGCGCUGCCGACAUCCUCGUCUCUAUAUAUCUACGCUCUGUUUACUCCCCGUCGGGAGACCUAUUUUCGAACCACCCAGCGCCAAUUAUCGGGAUCCACGAUCGAAAACACGAUCCUUCCCUGGACAAGGUUUUUUUUAUAAACAAAAGAACGGACAGAACUGGUGGUGCAGAAGAAUCGUUGAAUUUAUCGAGGAGCUUUGAUAUUUGUGAAUUCGUCACCAGGUCUGUGAAUGUUUCGUAGAAAAAUGAACUUCGAUAGUGAAUCACGUUGUUCGAGGAAGAUUGAUAAAUUAGAAUUUAGACAGAUUUUCGUGAAUUGUCAAAGUUGCUGAAUUUUGAUAUCCGCCAACUUCUGUUCAAUUAUCGUUUACAUGGUAGGAAUAGGAAAAUUGAUCGAGUCUGUGUGCGAGUUUUGUCGAGAAUGUUUGACCAAGAUCGAUAAACAAGAAAUUUCAAGGCAACCUUUUUUCAUAGAAUUACUGCAAUUUGGAAAAUGUAUUUUAUCGAACGAUAAAUUCAUCGUUCUUCGAUUGAUGCGUUGUUAACGGUCGAGUGCUUCUCUGUAAAUAAAUAAAAUCCGAGUGAAAUGCCUGGGCAAUAUGCUCGAUUUUUAUCAAAGAACGCGAUUGGCACCGAAAACCGUGAAUCAGAAAGAAUUGCGAAAAAAUGACACGGUUUUACUCGGAGCAGUAAUAAUGGCACGUGUUCGUUCAGAGAAUACAACGGUUGCAAAAUAGAGAAAACGUUUCAAUGGAGGAGUUUUCCAGUAGUAUAGGACGCUAGUGUCUGACUAUACGUGCGUUACUACUGUAGAGCAGAAAUCUAUUGUGAAGUAGAAAAUAAUCGACAAUGGCAGACUCGCUGGUGUCUGACUCUUAUAGGCCGCUUCUACUUUACGAUUCCUACGCACUGCGCGGCCUUUAUUUUAAGCUCUAUAACUGGGAAUCUUUUUUCGUGAAAGGAAGAAGAAAAAUGACGAACUUAAAGAGAAUGUAGCGCGGAUUACGAAAUUUGUAUUUCAGGAAAAUGUUAAGCAAAGUUGAAACAUCAAACAAUUUUCAUCGAAAAAUCUGCGUGAUUUCAAAGGAUUUUAGAAUACGUUAUUUUACGGUA